GAAGUUUCACCCCUUUUUUAGUGGUCAGUAUUGCUAGAUAACGAGUUGUUGUAUCUCUCCAUUCAUCUUCGCUCGUAAAGAUUUCAACACUUCCAUGUAAAAGGGGAGCACGGUGGAAACAUUGUUUCAUCAACAGAGGCGGGAAAGAGUUGAAAAGAAUUCUGCCCAAUCAUUGUCUUGGACCGGGCCCAGAAAGAAAGAGCUCUAACAAAAAUGACCGCGAAGUUUUGGAUACCUUCUGAUUCACCUAUCUACCUCGAUGAUAUAACCUCCUCAUUCAUUUUGAAGUAGGAAAACUCCAAUUACAUAUGUAAUACGUUUUUUGAGUUGAGGCACCUGCUGGGCUAAUGAAGGAACAGGUACAAAGCUCUAUUCUAUGUGUAGGAUAGGUCACGUUGCUAAUCGGUCAGUAAUUGGCCCCAAUGGGAUCUAUGGUUGUAAUGUCUAGCAUAGUAAACUUACCCAGAUGCUCUAACAAUGAACUGCCAGUCCCUAGUGAAAACAUUCUCACGGAAAAUAACAGUUCCUCAAAUGACAAGAAUAAGAAGACGUUUCUUUGGAUCAUGGAAAGAGUGAAUAUGGUUUUCUUAAUUGUUCUGGUGUGUUAUCUGUCAUGGACUAUACCUGCCACCUUUGGUUUGUUUGAUCCGCCUAGGUCUUCAUCAUCAACUUUGCUUCAGAAUAAUCGAACGCUGCUGAAUGAAACAAGGAGUUUAAUUGUAGAUACAAACGUGGGCGAUACAGUGAUACAGGGUUUUGUUGAUUUCAACAAUGACUCACAGUCUUCAGCAUUCCCAACAAAACAUUCCAAGAAAUGGAAAACAGCAAAAAGGAGGAGACCGAUAAAGAAACUGAACUCCAGCAAAAAGCGUUGGAGGAAGAAAAAGAAAAACGGAAAAAAUAAAUCCAUAAAUAGAAGGAAAGGACGAUUUUUUCAAAGAUUGAAACCGAUUACCAUUCGUCAGAUUAUCGAGAUGGUAGCACAAGAAGCAUUGACGAAAACAUCCGGAUCCUACGAUUAUAAUCAGCUCGAAAAUGAAGUUAAAGGUAACAGUUUCCCGCCCAAAACACCACGUGUUUCCGGUACAGAAUCGUCAGUGAAACUAAAGAUAGAUGCAGCUAGCUCUACGGAAUGGUCAUCUUGGAGUCCAUGUUCUGUUACCUGUGGAAUGGGACAACAGGAAAGAUCACGUGACUGUGGAUCAGCAUGUCGUGAAAUGGAAACACAGGCCUGCUACCGUAGACGUUGUUCUGAUGAAGCUUCGAGAAAAAAGAACAAGUUUGCAUGGGAGUACGAAAAUAUCAUCCCAGAUUCUACACUAAGACCGAAGGAUUUUAUCAACCCUGAAAAAGAUGUAUGUAAAAGAUGGAUGUCUUGCAAUAAAGAUACGAUAUCGUCUUAUCUAAAGCACGCAGCACUUCCAAGUUGCCCUUGUUUGUACCCUCUGCAUCUAAGCUAUAAUCCGAAAGUCUGGGAUCCUCAUGCCAAAAAACACUACAAUUGGAUGGAUGUAGACGCAAAAACUGAGGGAUUGUAUGCGUACAAGCCAAGCGCAAAGUUCUGUAUACGGUCCAAAUUAUUCAAAGGUGUUCCGACACUGGCUUCACAGAUGUGUUGCUAUGACAACGACUUCAAAUUGAUUACCAGGGGCAAAGGGGCUGGAACUCCGAAUUUGAUUAGCCCAGAAAUGUCUCCCGAACUCCAUCAUAAACUGGAUAUUAAUCCAUGGAUCAUCUGUAAAGGUGACUGGUCCAGAUCCAAGUUCUGUUGACCCAUUCAUUACGUUAAACGGAACGGCCAAUGCAUCCUUUGACCUUGACGACGCUCCAUAUUUGGUAUAACCAAAUUCUACCUCCAGAUAAUGGUCAAAAAUGUUCUUUGAAUCCAGAUGACGACAUCAUCGUGCAACAGAGGACAGACAAUAAAAAUUACUAACGUCACAGAUACAAUGCUGUUUCUUAGAUAGAAUGGUGAUGUCAUUCAUGUUAUUGAUUACCACAAUUCUUGCUUCAGCAGGAAAAAGUGAAAUGAAUCAUUUCCGGUGUUCUGGGACCGCUUUCAUUUUUUUUUUUUAUAUGUGGAAGACUUUCAGUGAGAAACGCAAAUUCUUGUGUUAAUGAUGACACAUCUGUUCGCUUAUACGGGUAUAACUGAAUAUUUUAUUUUGUAUAUAAAAGACGUUUAUUUUCAUAUUGUGUAAAUAAUAAAGUCGACCAAAUUACUACAAUCACCUAGUGUUUUAACAAUAUUAGAUAUCAUUCAAGAAUGUACAUAAGGAUUUAUAUGAAGAAAAAAGUUUGAAAACCAAAAACAAGUGACAAAACACCUGUCUUGUAAAAAUGCAGUUGAAUAUGGCUUUAAUAAAUGUUGAAGGCAUGUCUUGA
Molecule: RNA transcript, 2385 nt
Organism: Ostrea edulis (European flat oyster)
Lineage: Eukaryota; Metazoa; Mollusca; Bivalvia; Ostreida; Ostreidae
Gene name: isthmin-1-like
Exons: 7
Source: RefSeq, a predicted model, not a curated record